GGUUCCGGACUGUAAAAAUGGCUCCCGUUGAACACUAUUUCCGGGCUUAACACAUGCCAGUCGAGCCCAAACGACAUCGAAAGCUUGCUUUUGAUGGGCGUCGACCGGCGCACGGGUGAGUAACGCGUAUCCAACCUGCCCACCACUUGGGGAUAACCUUGCGAAAGUAAGACUAAUACCCAAUGACGUCUCUAGAAGACAUCUGAAAGGGAUUAAAGAUUUAUCGGUGAUGGAUGGGGAUGCGUCUGAUUAGCUUGUUGGCGGGGUAACGGCCCACCAAGGCGACGAUCAGUAGGGGUUCUGAGAGGAAGGUCCCCCACAUUGGAACUGAGACACGGUCCAAACUCCUACGGGAGGCAGCAGUGAGGAAUAUUGGUCAAUGGACGAGAGUCUGAACCAGCCAAGUAGCGUGCAGGAUGACGGCCCUAUGGGUUGUAAACUGCUUUUAUAAGGGAAUAAAGUGAGUCUCGUGAGACUUUUUGCAUGUACCUUAUGAAUAAGGACCGGCUAAUUCCGUGCCAGCAGCCGCGGUAAUACGGAAGGUCCGGGCGUUAUCCGGAUUUAUUGGGUUUAAAGGGAGCGUAGGCUGGAGAUUAAGCGUGUUGUGAAAUGUAGAUGCUCAACAUCUGCACUGCAGCGCGAACUGGUUUCCUUGAGUACGCACAAAGUGGGCGGAAUUCGUGGUGUAGCGGUGAAAUGCUUAGAUAUCACGAAGAACUCCGAUUGCGAAGGCAGCUCACUGGAGCGCAACUGACGCUGAAGCUCGAAAGUGCGGGUAUCGAACAGGAUUAGAUACCCUGGUAGUCCGCACGGUAAACGAUGGAUGCCCGCUGUUGGUCUGAAUAGGUCAGCGGCCAAGCGAAAGCAUUAAGCAUCCCA
RNAcentral lists this ribosomal RNA (879 nucleotides) under uncultured Bacteroidota bacterium. RNAcentral describes it as "bacterial SSU rRNA". It matches the Rfam family "Bacterial small subunit ribosomal RNA", at positions 1 to 871 of the family's 1533-position model. The record is from RNAcentral. Lineage: Bacteria; Pseudomonadati; Bacteroidota.